UACAGAGGUCUCAAGCGUUGUUCGGAUUCAUUGGGCGUAAAGGGUGCGUAGGCGGCGCGGUAAGUCGGGUGUGAAAUCUCGGAGCUUAACUCCGAAACCGCAUUCGAUACUGCCGUGCUUGAGGACUGGAGAGGAGACUGGAAUUUACGGUGUAGCGGUGAAAUGCGUAGAUAUCGUAAGGAAGACCAGUGGCGAAGGCGGGUCUCUGGACAGUUCCUGACGCUGAGGCACGAAGGUCAGGGGAGCAAACGGG
This 253-nucleotide ribosomal RNA is filed under the name uncultured bacterium. Its description in RNAcentral is "partial 16S ribosomal RNA". It matches the Rfam family "Bacterial small subunit ribosomal RNA", at positions 524 to 776 of the family's 1533-position model. The record is from RNAcentral.